GAGUUAGGUGCCUGUCUGCAGCAACAGGAAGUGGUUAGUCAAGCAGGGCAAUGAUCCGGGGCUGGUGACAUCAGCACACCAGACACACUGGUCUUCAAAUCAUGGCUUCUUAGGUUGUGAUCACUAUGACAAAGAAUGCUUACCGUGGCCAUGAUGUGGCCUUCAAUGACAGCAGUGAUAAAAGUAACGGAGAAGGAAGGGAAGUGGGUGUGAAGACCAGCAGUGUCCUCGGGAGGUUUGCUAUGACCCACACUGGGAAGGACACUGAAAGAGAAACCAAAGAGAAAAGAGAAGCCAAGCAGCAAUCAAUGCUGGCGCCAUCCUCCUCACUGUCUUCUGUGCCGUGUUUCUGGUUGUGCAGAAAAAGUGGAGAUAAUUCUUCUACUGAAAAAAAAAUUUAUCAUCAAAAAGCAGACUGUCACAGCUCAGGAAUGUAAAGCUGUAAGGAAGAGGUUUGGGGGUGCUCCUUAGAGACUACCUUGGUUCAUUAGAUGUUGUUCCUGAAGGGUCUUCUCCUCCCAUACCCAGCCCCACUUCUGAACCCUUUCCUACUGGCAGGAGGGUCUAGAAAGAGUCUUCUACCCCUUGGCCGUGGAACCUGAAACAGAGACACUUGAGAACAGGCAAAGUCACUGUCCAGAGAUGCCUGAGACUCUGCCUGCCCUGGGGAAGACCUCAGGGCAGCAUGCAGCUCACACUCAUGUCAUUGUGGAUACCUGUGGCCUCCUCAUCCUUAUGGAGAUCAGCCCUGAGUUGCUGCCUGGCUUCCAUCCACUAGCCCUGCAUUGCUAAUGUCUACCCAUAACCUCCCUGCUGAAAUUCCUACCUCUCCAGGUCAAACACCUUUGGGAAGGUCAGCUUCUUGUCUUUGGGGCACAUUAUGGCUCCUCCAGAAUCAAACGGGCCUUGCAGUUAGAAGACAUCCUCUAGCUCUAAUGUUCCUCUCUAUUCUUACCAUCAAACUGAGGAGGAAGGAGGAGAGAGCAUGUCACAGCCUUUCAUCAAUCCCACCAGAAGGCUGCAUUCAGGCCGGUUGAGGAAGGCCCCCCUCUGGAGCCGAAGAGGGGAAGGAGAGGAGAGGUGUCUGUAGGAGAGUCGCCAUGGAAGACAAGGAUGGUACAACCCCUCUGCAUCUCCAUCCCCCAAGACGGUAUUCAGCGGAUUCCAACAUUCUCUUCUUGGGGUAGCUGGAAGAAAGGGCCCUCAUAUCUCCAUUUAUCCCACUCCUUUCCUCUUUGUCUUUGUUUGAGAAGAGUUGGUGCGCUAUGGAUGAAAGAGUGAGUUUUAGAGCCAGGCACACAGACCUUGGUCCAAUCACACCUUUGCUGCAGAGAUGUCCUAGAACUUUCUGAGACUGUUUUUUAAUCUGUAAAAUCAGAAUAGCAAAAGACUGGGAUGAUGGUCUUGAUGAUGAAACAAAAUGACAUUUUCAAUUUAAUUUAGGGCAAAAUCACAAUGACAUAUUUCUUUUGUUGAGUAAGAGACAGCCAAGCUCCUGGCAUGUGAAUCUCUCCUUUUAGCAAAAACAAUGUAUUUACAUUUUCAGCAUGUAUUUGUGUUUUCCUUUCUCUGAGAAACUAGUGCAACUUUUUGACAGG
Aotus nancymaae (Ma's night monkey) is the source of this 1598-nucleotide long non-coding RNA. Lineage: Eukaryota; Metazoa; Chordata; Mammalia; Primates; Aotidae. The record is from Ensembl.